CCAUAUAUCCCAUAUAUCCCAUAUAUCCCAUAUAUCCCAUCUAUCCCCUAUAUCCCAUCUAUCCCAUGAUGUCUCUCCCCCAUUCCCAGCAUGGCAGUGGGGGUGGAGGACGCCACAUCCUCGGCCAGCAUCACCCUGCGGGUGCAGCCCCACGUCACCAUCGGCACCCUCAAGGAGCAGGUGUUCCGCGAGUACGGCUUUCCCCCUUCAGCACAGCGCUGGAUCAUCGGGCAGAGCCUGUGCCGGGACGGGCGCAGCCUGGCCUCCUACGGCAUCCGCCGCGACGGCGACCCCGCCUUCCUCUUCCUCCUCUCGGCGCGGGCGGCACUGGAACCGGCACCGGGAGCGGGAACGGCUGCGGGAGCGGCGGCGGGAGCGGCCCCGGGAGCGGCCCCGGCCCCGGCGGGCCCCGAGCGGCAGCGGGAGCUGCAGGCACAGGAGCUGCUGCGCGCCGCGGGGCUGCACGGGGACGGGGACGGACACGGGGACGGAGCACCUGGGGCAGGCCGUGUCCCCGAGGAGCCCCCGGAGCGGAUGGACUUUGGGGACAUCCGGGAUCACCUGGACUCGCUGCAGCUCUGGGACAGCGCCGGGGCCCCGCCCACGGGCCCUGAGCCCCGCCCACCCUCACCUG
Molecule: long non-coding RNA, 634 nt
Filed under: Junco hyemalis (dark-eyed junco)
Lineage: Eukaryota; Metazoa; Chordata; Aves; Passeriformes; Passerellidae
Description: lncRNA (ENSJHYG00000009294.1)
Source: RNAcentral